GCGACGAUCAGUAGCCGACCUGAGAGGGUGAUCGGCCACAUUGGAACUGAGACACGGUCCAAACUCCUACGGGAGGCAGCAGUGGGGAAUAUUGCACAAUGGGCGAAAGCCUGAUGCAGCAACGCCGCGUGAGUGAUGAAGGCCUUCGGGUCGUAAAACUCUGUCCUCAAGGAAGAUAAUGACGGUACUUGAGGAGGAAGCCCCGGCUAACUACGUGCCAGCAGCCGCGGUAAUACGUAGGGGGCUAGCGUUAUCCGGAUUUACUGGGCGUAAAGGGUGCGUAGGCGGUCUUUCAAGUCAGGAGUGAAAGGCUACGGCUCAACCGUAGUAAGCUCUUGAAACUGGGAGACUUGAGUGCAGGAGAGGAGAGUGGAAUUCCUAGUGUAGCGGUGAAAUGCGUAGAUAUUAGGAGGAACACCAGUUGCGAAGGCGGCUCUCUGGACUGUAACUGACGCUGAGGCACGAAAGCGUGGGGAGCAAACAGGAUUAGAUACCCUGGUAGUCCACGCUGUAAACGAUGAGUAC
This 525-nucleotide ribosomal RNA is filed under the name Clostridioides difficile. RNAcentral's name for it is "bacterial SSU rRNA". It matches the Rfam family "Bacterial small subunit ribosomal RNA", at positions 273 to 816 of the family's 1533-position model. Lineage: Bacteria; Bacillati; Bacillota; Clostridia; Peptostreptococcales; Peptostreptococcaceae. The record is from RNAcentral.